GUAGUUAGAGUAGUAGUAGUUACAAGUACUAAUAGUAGUAGCAGUUACAAGUACUAAUAGUAGUAGUAGUUAGAAGUAAAUAGUAAAUAAACUGAUAUGUACACAAUAAGAUAUACAUAGUCAGGUCUGUCCAACCCAGUUCCUGGAGAGAUACCCUCCUGUAGGUUUUAACUCCAACCCUGUUCCUGGAGAGAUACCGUCCUGUAGGUUUUAACUCCAACCCUGUUCCUGGAGAGAUACCCUCCUGUAGGUUUUAACUCCAACCCUGUUCCUGGAGAGAUACCUUCCUGUAGGUUUUAACUCCAACCCUGUUCCUGGAGAGAUACCUUCCUGUAGGUUUUAACUCCAACCCUGUUCCUGGAGAGAUACCCUCCUGUAGGUUUUAACUCCAACCCUGUUCCUGGAGAGAUACCGUCCUGUAGGUUUUAACUCCAACCCUGUUCCUGGAGAGAUACCGUCCUGUAGGUUUUAACUCCAACCCUGUUCCUGGAGAGAUACCAUCCUGUAGGUUUUCAUGCCAACACUAAUUUAGCAUGACUGAUUCUAAUAAUUAGCUUGUUGAUACGCUUAAUCAGAUUAGGUCAUUACAUCUUGGUUUGGUUCAGUAGUGUGAAGGGUCUCAGGCUGGUGCUAUGGAUGCACCACUCAAACAUCAAAUCUCAUCUCUGGCAGGGUAAGGGUAAGGUGGAACAGCAGUGUUCUCUGGCAGGGUAAGUUGGAGCAGCAGUGUUCUCUGGCAGGGUAAG
Molecule: long non-coding RNA, 746 nt
Filed under: Salmo salar (Atlantic salmon)
Lineage: Eukaryota; Metazoa; Chordata; Actinopteri; Salmoniformes; Salmonidae
Description: lncRNA (ENSSSAG00000113225.1)
Source: RNAcentral